Jimgerdemannia flammicorona is the source of this 93-nucleotide non-coding RNA. Lineage: Eukaryota; Fungi; Mucoromycota; Endogonomycetes; Endogonales; Endogonaceae. The record is from the annotation of a GenBank genome assembly.
GCUGGCUUAGUGUAGUGGUUAUCACGUGACCUUUACAUAUAAUGAUGAUGUGAAGAACGGUCAAUGUCGCAGGUUCGAACCCUGCAGCUAGCA